AAAAAAAGAAAAGAAAAGAAAAAGAAAAAAAGAUAAAAACAAAACUUU
This 48-nucleotide non-coding RNA is filed under the name Tetraselmis sp. GSL018. Lineage: Eukaryota; Viridiplantae; Chlorophyta; Chlorodendrophyceae; Chlorodendrales; Chlorodendraceae. The record is from RNAcentral.